Molecule: long non-coding RNA, 647 nt
Organism: Hibiscus syriacus
Lineage: Eukaryota; Viridiplantae; Streptophyta; Magnoliopsida; Malvales; Malvaceae
Exons: 3
Source: RefSeq, a predicted model, not a curated record
UUCCGCAUAUGAUCUAUAUCUUGUUCCUUGAUGAUAAAUGAAUAAAUUUUCAACUCUCGAUUUCAAACUUGAAUAAAAUUACCCUUUUGAAGUAGAAGCAGAACUAUUAUAGUAAGAAACUUCCUUUAAGAGCAUUAGAGCAAUAUUACUAGCUACAUUUCUGGUCAUGUAGAAUGUCAUUCAUAGUUUGACUCUUGAAUACAUGAUAAAAUCUAUUCCUGUCAGUUGCAGUUUGUAAAAGAUGUUGAAUGACUCAGCCCUUCAGUUUUUCACCUGAUACAUUUCUAGUGGUUCUUUGCAGCUCACUUUUGAACUUCUUAAUUGUAGAUAUUCCCUUACUGUCUUGCGUAGUAUGUUUGCCAUGUAAUGAGGGUUUCUCCUUUCCGAUAUUAAUGUGAUAUGAUAUUUGAGGUUAUGAAAAAUGAGCAACCUUAUGACAGUAUCCCAAAUUUCAGUGCUGCCGAUGCCUUGAAACUUACAGGAAUUGGAAGAAAUGAAUUUAUUGAUAUCAUGAACAAAUGCAGGUCUAAGAAAAUCAUGUGAAGCUCAACAAGUCGAUUGCAAAAGAGUUGUUACCUACCCAACCUGUGGACUUUCAAACUAAACCUUGGUGGGAAAUUUGUCUUGUUAACUUUACUCUGGAAGAG